This 2906-nucleotide long non-coding RNA is filed under the name Panthera leo (lion). Its description in RNAcentral is "lncRNA (ENSPLOG00000002133.1)". Lineage: Eukaryota; Metazoa; Chordata; Mammalia; Carnivora; Felidae. The record is from RNAcentral.
UUUCAACCAAAGACUCACAUCCAGUUCUCAAAAGUUUCCAUGGAACACUGGUAGUGGGAGGCUUGACGGGAAGCCGUAGUGAUCUGGAGAGCCGCGACAGCCAGUGAGCUGCAAAAAGAGCACCUUGGGGAAGAGUUAAAGAGAUGCCAUGUGACACACAGAAGGAGAAAAAAGCCAGGAUCCAAAUAUAAUACAAGCUAACAUGGGACUUGGCUUUCAGCAAGUGACGGGAGUGUGACAGAAAAAAAGCAGUCCAUUUGACCUUGAUUCUAAGAAUGUUCUCUCUUAAAGAAUGCAAAAGUCAAGACCCUGGGCCCAGGGAAGAGGAAAUGCAGCCUUGACACGCUGCCAGGCCUGGGACUCCGCUCUCUCUCUGCCAACAAGUACUGUUCAUCACUUUCUCCCUUUCAAAAGAGACCUACAGAUACUGCACAGAAUGAAGCGCCCCUCCUGUGACAGCAUGAAAGUGAAGGGACAGCAGACACACGAGACACACCUUUCGUCGAUGCUGAGGUGUCAAGAGACACUAGCCAAAUUUUGAAGAUAAAAAGAAUCAAAGAAUGGCAUCACUAAAAACACCCAAAAAGACCCCAGGAGGGUAGAAGAGGGGUCAGCUGGAGUCUUACUUUCCACAGCAGGGAGGUAACAGAUGCUGAAGGCUGAUGUGUCAGGAGGAGGAGGAACUAGGAGCUACAGGCAGCACAGGCCGAAAGCGGUUUGCCUCCAGGAGUGGAACGUGGAGACUUGUCCUCAGUUAACCUCACAUGCACGUCAGUUUCGUUAAAGCCAAACUGGUUAUGCUGCACAAGUGGAGAAAUGAGAUCGCAUUCUCACCCAUCAAAAUAGCAGUGUUGUUAAACGGGAAGAUGUGCAUAAAGGAACCCAUGGGCCCAGCAGGAGACUCUCAUGAGGAACUCUGCAAUUUAGCUACAUUUCCCCCAUGUCUCAGACUACCCUGGUCAGAGUGCACGCCUUACCUAGGCCAGGACCUUUCUGGAAAGUCUUCCCACACCCCAGAGCUCCUAAAGUACUGGUAAGAUAGGGCAGUGUUCUGCACUGCUCAGUAACAAACACUUCCUCCCAGCUAGGCCCCCUGCUUGUCCUCAACCCCACCAUGAACAAUUAAGUAGCAGCUUCUAUUUAUUAGUACUUACUCUAUGUUCUCCUCUUUAAGUACGUCGUUAUGUCUCCGCACCAUCCUGAAAGUGUUUAUUACUGUUUUUCAGAAGACUGAGUAAUUUGCUCAAAGUCACACAAGUCCGUGGCAGAGUAAUUCAAACCAGAUUGGCCCUAUUUCAAAGUACGAACCCAACUCUUUAAAACCACAAAGAAUAUGCUUCACCACUGAGGAAGUCACUAAGACCUGUCAGAAACUCAUGACAAAUCAUUUCAAAAAUCUUUAAAAGCUAAAUAAACCCUCAGAUGAUGGAAUAAGAAACCUCAACAGAAUUAACAACUCAUGCGAGACUAAGAGAAAGUAAGUACCAGUCUUCCUGUUCAGAAAUGAUCUUAAAAGGAAACAGUUCACAACCUGAUCAGUCCUCCAAGUUUAAGAUGCUGUAGUGAGCCCUGGCCGCAGCAGUAUGUACUAUUCCACGACAGACUCACCAAAAAGAGCCAAAAAGGCGCUCUUGGAGCUUACGUAAGCAGCAAACAUAACCAUCACCACCGACUGUUUUCCACUCCAGACUGUGUAGUUUAAAAGUAGAUCCCAAUACUAUCUCAAUCUCCUUCCGCCGAUGACCACUUACAUAGUAAUAUAAUUUAAUGCUCUGUCACUAUGUCAAAACAAAAGUGAUUAGAUUGGGACAAGAACACUUCAAUUAAGCUGGACAAUUUCUCAAGCAACACGACAAAAACAACGUGAAGAAAAAGGAUUCAAGUCAGGUACCUGAAUUUUAAAACAAAUCAGUGAUCUGUGAAGAAUGAGAUUCUAGUUUAAUCUGCACUACAUGGACAACAAUUCCAGCAUAAAUAAACUGUGCCUCUCAGAUGAGAUAGUCUGCUUACUUCCAAAAAACGAACGGUCACGGAACUUGCCCAGGCAGCCUUGUUUGCUAGCAUAUACCCAUUCCUGUGACUCCCCUAGACCUCAGGUUCUAAGAUGCUGUGGUUUGAAAAGUUCUAAGUAACCUCCGAUCUGCAAAGAAGACGUGCUUUGAGUAAGAGCAGACUCCCACACUGUCUAGAGUAUGGGACAGCCUCGUGAAGCCAGGCAAAGCAUUUCUCUCCCAUCCAGAGGAAACCAUCUGCCUAGAGUUCAUGCUGCCGCCUGGGAACAGGUCCAGAAAAGUUCUAAUAGAUCAGCUCCAAAUUUUAUUAAUGUUCCCUUUUCCCAGGUAAGGAAAAACUAAUCUGAGUUUGAAUUUGAGUUAAAUUCUUCGUUACUAAGUUAUCAGCACCAAAAACCUGUCCUUAAGAUGUUCUUGGAUACAUAUUUGAGGGGGCUUUUUUUUAUUGCUGAUUACAGAUUUCAAACUUGAAAUGUGCAUUUCUUGGCAAGUUACACCAGUGAUUCUUCACUUACAUUUCCAAUAAAAGCUUAAGGAAACAGACAAAAAUACAAAGGAUGAGAGAAACACAAACAGUGAUGCCUCAAAACAAAAGGAUUUAGUAACAGAAAGAAGUCUCCACGCUCAGUGUCCGUCACAAUUUUAAAGUUCUCCCAACAAUGCAGAUGCUCAUCAUGAUCAUGUACUGAACUUAUUAAUACCUGUCCCUUGAAGCUGCAAACUGGAAAAGUCAGCCACUUACAUUUAGGAUCAUACAAACCACCUAAUUUGCUCAGGGUUCAGCUUAAAGCAACAUUUAAUAUUCAUUACAAGAUGGAAUUUGUGACAAGUUCAAAAGGAAAACUUGCUUAAGUGCAGCUGUACUCUGACGUCUACGAAACGUUCCCGGGCUUA